GGUUUGUAAACCGCUUUUCGGGGGGAAGAGGAAGGACGGUACCCCCGGAAUAAGUCUCGGCUAACUACGUGCCAGCAGCCGCGGUAAAACGUAGGAGGCAAACGUUAUCCGGAUUUACUGGGUGUAAAGCGCGUGCAGGCGGUUUCGUAAGUCGUGUGUGAAAGCGCUCAGGCUCAACCGGGCGAGGCCAUGCGAAACUGCGGAACUGGAGGCAGGUAGAGGCGUGUGGAAUUCCGGGUGUAGUGGUGAAAUGCGUAGAUAUCCGGAGGAACACCAGUGGCGAAGGCGACACGCUGGGCCUGACCUGACGCUAAGGCGCGAAAGCAUGGGGAGCGAACGGGAUUAGAAACCCCGGUAGUCCAUGCCGUAAACGAUGCGUACUAGGUGUUGCGGUGUCAAAACUGCAGUGCCGGAGCCAACGUGAUAAGUACGCCACCUGGGGACUACGGCCGCAAGGUUAAAC
Molecule: ribosomal RNA, 463 nt
Filed under: Chloroflexota bacterium
Lineage: Bacteria; Bacillati; Chloroflexota
Description: bacterial SSU rRNA
Rfam family: Bacterial small subunit ribosomal RNA
Source: RNAcentral